Non-coding RNA from Ophidiomyces ophidiicola, 99 nucleotides. The record is from the annotation of a RefSeq genome assembly. Lineage: Eukaryota; Fungi; Ascomycota; Eurotiomycetes; Onygenales; Onygenaceae.
GCCGGGCUAGCUCAAUCGGUAGAGCGUGUGGCUCUUAUGAGACUUUCAUAGGAUCCGUAGAUCACCACAAGGCUGCGGGUUCGACCCCCGCGUUCGGCU